AGCUCCAAUAGCGUAUAUUUAAGUUGUUGCAGUUAAAAAGCUCGUAGUUGGAUUUCGGGCGGGCCCGGCCGGUCCGCCUCACGGUGUGCACUGACCGGGCCCGUCCUGCUGCCGGGGACGGGCUCCUGGGCUUCACUGUCCGGGACUCGGAGUCGGCGAGGUUACUUUGAGUAAAUUAGAGUGUUCAAAGCAGGCAUCCGCCUUGAAUACGUUAGCAUGGAAUAACACGAUAGGACUCUGGCCUAUCUUGUUGGUCUGUGGGACCGGAGUAAUGAUUAAGAGGGACAGUCGGGGGCAUUCGUAUUUCAUUGUCAGAGGUGAAAUUCUUGGAUUUAUGAAAGACGAACUACUGCGAAAGCAUUUGCCAAGGAUGUUUUCA
This 379-nucleotide ribosomal RNA is filed under the name uncultured eukaryote. Its description in RNAcentral is "SSU rRNA". It matches the Rfam family "Eukaryotic small subunit ribosomal RNA", at positions 587 to 972 of the family's 1831-position model. The record is from RNAcentral.